UCCAGGGUAGCCUAGUGGACAUGGCACCUGCCCGGUAAGCAGAAGGUUGUGGGUUCGAUUGCCGCCCCUGGAC
Molecule: non-coding RNA, 73 nt
Organism: Cordylochernes scorpioides
Lineage: Eukaryota; Metazoa; Arthropoda; Arachnida; Pseudoscorpiones; Chernetidae
Source: the annotation of a GenBank genome assembly